RNAcentral lists this ribosomal RNA (705 nucleotides) under Laceyella sacchari. Its description in RNAcentral is "bacterial SSU rRNA". It matches the Rfam family "Bacterial small subunit ribosomal RNA", at positions 32 to 761 of the family's 1533-position model. The record is from RNAcentral. Lineage: Bacteria; Bacillati; Bacillota; Bacilli; Caryophanales; Thermoactinomycetaceae.
AACGCUGGCGGCAUGCCUAAUACAUGCAAGUCGUGCGGGGGUCUUCGGACCCUAGCGGCGAACGGGUGAGUAACACGUGGGCAACCUGCCCGUAAGACUGGGAUAACUCCGGGAAACCGGUGCUAAUACCAGAUAAUCUCUUUCUCCGCAUGGAGAAAGAGUAAAAGGCUUCGGCCACUUACGGAUGGGCCCGCGGCGCAUUAGCUGGUUGGUGAGGUAACGGCUCACCAAGGCGACGAUGCGUAGCCGACCUGAGAGGGUGAUCGGCCACACUGGGACUGAGACACGGCCCAGACUCCUACGGGAGGCAGCAGUAGGGAAUUUUCCGCAAUGGGCGAAAGCCUGACGGAGCAAUGCCGCGUGAGUGAUGACGGCCUUCGGGUUGUAAAACUCUGUUCUGAAGGAAGAAGUUCUGACGGUACUUCAGGAGAAAGCCCCGGCUAACUACGUGCCAGCAGCCGCGGUAAUACGUAGGGGGCGAGCGUUAUCCGGAAUUAUUGGGCGUAAAGCGCGCGCAGGCGGUCAUUUAAGUCAGGUGUGAAAGGCUGCGGCUCAACCGCAGAGCGGCACCUGAAACUGGAUGACUUGAGUGCAGGAGAGGAGAGCGGAAUUCCCGGUGUAGCGGUGGAAUGCGUAGAGAUCGGGAGGAACACCAGUGGCGAAGGCGGCUCUCUGGCCUGUUUCUGACGCUGAGGCGCGAAAGCG